Molecule: ribosomal RNA, 500 nt
Filed under: uncultured bacterium
Lineage: Bacteria
Description: partial 16S ribosomal RNA
Rfam family: Bacterial small subunit ribosomal RNA
Source: RNAcentral
AUUGAACGCUGGCGGAAUGCUUUACACAUGCAAGUCGAACGGCAGCACGGACUUCGGUCUGGUGGCGAGUGGCGAACGGGUGAGUAAUGUAUCGGAACGUGCCCAGUCGUGGGGGAUAACGUAGUGAAAAUUACGCUAAUACCGCAUACGAUCUAUGGAUGAAAGCGGGGGAUCGCAAGACCUCGCGCGAUUGGAGCGGCCGAUAUCAGAUUAGGUAGUUGGUGGGGUAAAGGCCCACCAAGCCAACGAUCUGUAGCUGGUCUGAGAGGACGACCAGCCACACUGGAACUGAGACACGGUCCAGACUCCUACGGGAGGCAGCAGUGUGGAAUUUUGGACAAUGGGCGAAAGCCUGAUCCAGCCAGUCCGUGUGAAGGAUGAAGGCCCUCGGGUUGUAAACUGCUUUUGUACAGAACGAAAAGGUUUCUACUAAUACUAGGAGCUCAUGACGGUACUGUAAGAAUAAGCACCGGCUAACUACGUGCCAGCCGCCGCCGUAA